Molecule: unclassified non-coding RNA, 339 nt
Filed under: soil metagenome
Description: partial contains 5.8S ribosomal RNA, internal transcribed spacer 2, and large subunit ribosomal RNA
Rfam family: 5.8S ribosomal RNA (bases 1-120)
Source: RNAcentral
GAUGAAGAACGUAGCGAAAUGCGAUAAGUAAUGUGAAUUGCAGAAUUCAGUGAAUCAUCGAAUCUUUGAACGCACAUUGCGCCCAUCAGUAUUCUGGUGGGCAUGCCUGUUCGAGCGUCAUUCCAACCCCUAAGCACAGCUUACUGUUGGGACUCUACGGCCUCCGUAGUUCCCCAAAGCCAUUGGCGGAGUGGCAGUAGUCCUCUGAGCGUAGUAAUUCUUUAUCUCGCUUUUGUUAGGUGCUGCCCCCCCGGCCGUUAAACCCCCCAAUUUUUUUCUGGUUGACCUCGGAUCAGGUAGGAAUACCCGCUGAACUUAAGCAUAUCAAUAAGCGGAGGA